Long non-coding RNA from Macadamia integrifolia, 2945 nucleotides. RefSeq lists it as uncharacterized. The transcript is spliced from 3 exons. NCBI's taxonomy places the organism in Eukaryota, Viridiplantae, Streptophyta, Magnoliopsida, Proteales, Proteaceae. The record is from RefSeq and is a predicted model, not a curated record.
GGGAGGUAGGUAGGUGGAAUAAAAUAGGAGGUAGGAGAUGGGUGAAGUAAUAAAAGAAGAGAGACUUGUCCGGAUGAGAUGUUGAAAUCGGUGGUUAGGUGGUGGGCCAAGAAAAUAGUAUAAUAUGGAAAAGACAAAACUUUUGAUAAGACAUUAUAAACUAAAAGACAAAACUUUUGAGAAAAGAUGAUGCUUUGUCUGACAAGAUGGGUUAUGCGAGAGAAAAGUGGUGCUUGGUUUGGCUGGUUACAACUCAAUCUUAUGGGAAUAGUGUUGUGAUGCUAUGCCUUCAAAGAAAUAGUGUUGGACUUUGAUUGCAGUGGCAUAACUAUGUGAAACAGAGGCAAUAACGGCUGUAAAAAUAGAGGUAGUGGAGUGCGGAAGCGGAUGAAUCAAGGAUGAAGGUUGAGGUUUCAACAAAGCAGGUGAUGAAAUCAGAGAAAUCCUUGCAAGGACAAGGAUCUGUGGUGACAACCGUGUAAAACUUAGAUCCCUAAAGGGGCAGCGGUGUCGAGGUUGCAGCGUCUGAAUAAGCUCAGAGAUGGGCAGAUGUAAAACUUUGAGUCUCAAGGACUAGAGGGGUCAUGGAUGCUUGCAACGGUAGGGAGUUGGAGUCCGAUUGGUCAAAAAAUGACGUUGGUGCAAGAGUGGAGCAGAUAUUGAAGGCAAGGUGCUAGCAACGGCACCUUUCGAAACAGAGAAACAAGGGUUCAUCGGCCAUGCUUAAGAUCAUAGAACAAGGCCAACCAACGGUGACAUGGUUGAUCAUAAUGCCUCUUGUCCACGACAGUGGGAAUGACACUCAUUCAUAAUUUUCAUUGGACGGGGUUAUUCCAUCAAACUAAGGCCCCGUUUGUUUUGAGGGGAUGUUGGGGUGGGAGAGUUGCUGAGAUGGGACCCAUGUAUUAGUGGGGUGACCAACCGGGGUGGGUAAAGUAGUGGAAAAGUAAUGAAUAACUCACAUUGCCAAUUCAUCUCACCGUUUGAUUACCCGGCUUGGGAACAUUCUAGAUAAGAGAAGGUGGAGAGAGAGAUGGAGGAUGUUCAUCUUCCCCAUCUCCUACACUUGCAUGGGACAAAGUAAGACAGGGAGAGAAGGCAUGGAAGAUCAGUGGCAGCCAACCCUGUCUGAGGAGCUCUAUGUUGUUCUUUUCCUCUGAGGAGAAGGUGAUUCAUGCUUCUGCUUUGUGGUGAUUGGCCAUGGAAUUGAAGAUCGAUUGUAGGUGACUUAGUACUGUUUUGUCCUUGUAGCUCUCAUCGUGUUCAGUUAUGUGAGGAAGAGUUCUCACACAGAGGAGCCUGUGAGAGGGAAACAACUCUUGAGCGAGCCCUACAGUAUAACAUCAUUGGAGAAAGCGAGACCCUUCACACCAUGCCAUGCCCUUGCAUUUUGCGGCAUAGGCAUGCGUAUGGAUUUGCGGAAAUAGUUGCAAAUGGGUGCAGGGGUUUUUGAAGGGUGAGUUGCAGGCGAUGAUUAUUCAUGGGGUUUCAGUUGGAUGAGUUGCAGGUGGACAAAGGGGUUUUUAGGCGUGGCUCGCUGGUGGCAGUUCGGGGAUUACGAAGAAGGUUGCAGCAGAUCGGAUUAGGCGAGGGUUUCUCCAUUUUCAUAGAUGUAGGGGGUGAUGCCUUGCCACCCCGUACCGAUUUGGUCGAAGUUCACAGAUUCAGUGCGAUGGUUGUGUGGGGGUAGGUGCGAUUGUGCAGCGGCUGGACACACUGAUCGUUGUGGCAGAGCUUGAAGCCAUGGCAAGGCGGUGUUGCGCAUUGUUCUCACGCCAUCUCCAACCAAUUCCCCUUGGGAUUUUCGGCGAAGUCCCACCAAAUCUGUAGGACUUUGAGAAGGGUUGGGGUCGGAGAAAUCUCCAGCCACGUCGGCCGACAGGGGAAAGCGCGAUUAUUUUUGUCGUCUGCCUAAAAUCCCGCCCAUAGAACUAAACAAGUUCAAAUCCCUGAUGAAUUGAGACUUGGGUUACGAAAUUCCUGAUCUACCCUUAAACAAAAGGGAUUUAACAUCUUCAAAUCACUUGAAACAUAAGAAAUGUAAAAGUACUUUACCCAUCUAUUGAAACCCAAACCCUUCAUGAGACUAUUGAGUACGGGAGAGUUACCCUAGUGAAGGUAUGGAAACAAUUUAGAUCGUCCCAUUGGUAGACAUUCAAAUAAUCAUCAAUGGAGGGGUGUAAAUAGUUGGUUACCUGAGUUUCGCCAUCGCUAAACCUCCAAGUGGACUUAGCCCUUCAUUCGCAAAGUUCAUCUUCCACAAUAGCUCGUUGGCUCUCUGUUGAAUUCCCGUAGUGAUGGAGUGAAGAUUCCUUCUUCAAGAGAAGAUGAAGUAGAAAUCUUCUCUUUGGUUAUUGUAUUUCACACAGAGAGGAAGAGAGUGAGAGUGAUCGUUUUCUUAUGGUACGAUAGUCCCUCCUCAUUUUUUCCCAAAUAAAUAGAUUUUUAUCCUUAUCUUAAGGAGAGGUAGGCAAUUACCAUAACUAUUCCAACUCUCUAAUGAUUAGGUUUACGUAACCACUUAAAAAGUGGGUAGGAUCAAAUCCCUAUAAUCUUGCACAUGGGCAAAAUUUAAACUCUCAUGUUCAAAUCUAAUCAACAUGGUGGGCCCACCUAUUUUGGUGGACAAGUUAUCACCAACACCUAGCCCUCUUGCCCCAUUAUUCUCUGACUUGGUUCUGGCGACCAUUGACCAAGGGCGAGCAUCAAUGGAGAUUUGCUCGCUUCAUAUUCUCUCUUUCUCUUCCCAUCGAUGGCAGAAAAGGUUAUUGUAGCAGUGGGAGGGUGAUUGCAGCGCCAAGUUGUUGUACUCCAUUUGACUGUUGGGUUUUCAGGUUGGUUUGUUGAUAAAAGGUCAUUGGUUGGGGGUAAUAUGUCCUUUGAUUGUAGAUGAUAUGGAUUGCUCUUAGCUCUGUUUCCAUAGGUGUUUGUGGUUUGUAUGUUUG